GCUAUAAUGCAAGUCGAGCGAACGGAUAAGGAGCUUGCUCCUUUGAAGUUAGCGGCGGACGGGUGAGUAACACGUGGGUAACCUACCUAUAAGACUGGAAUAACUUCGGGAAACCGGAGCUAAUGCCGGAUAACAUUUGGAACCGCAUGGUUCUAAAGUAAAAGAUGGUUUUGCUAUCACUUAUAGAUGGACCCGCGCCGUAUUAGCUAGUUGGUAAGGUAACGGCUUACCAAGGCAACGAUACGUAGCCGACCUGAGAGGGUGAUCGGCCACACUGGAACUGAGACACGGUCCAGACUCCUACGGGAGGCAGCAGUAGGGAAUCUUCCGCAAUGGACGAAAGUCUGACGGAGCAACGCCGCGUGAGUGAUGAAGGUUUUCGGAUCGUAAAACUCUGUUAUUAGGGAAGAACAAAUGUGUAAGUAACUGUGCACAUCUUGACGGUACCUAAUCAGAAAGCCACGGCUAACUACGUGCCAGCAGCCGCGGUAAUACGUAGGUGGCAAGCGUUAUCCGGAAUUAUUGGGCGUAAAGCGCGCGUAGGCGGUUUCUUAAGUCUGAUGUGAAAGCCCACGGCUCAACCGUGGAGGGUCAUUGGAAACUGGGAAACUUGAGUACAGAAGAGGAAAGUGGAAUUCCAUGUGUAGCGGUGAAAUGCGC
Molecule: ribosomal RNA, 660 nt
Filed under: Staphylococcus sp. JSM 082037
Lineage: Bacteria; Bacillati; Bacillota; Bacilli; Caryophanales; Staphylococcaceae
Description: bacterial SSU rRNA
Rfam family: Bacterial small subunit ribosomal RNA
Source: RNAcentral